ACCUCAAGGGGCACCUCUGGCGACGUUCUCCCUCCUGCUUCCUGUGUCCACACUUGAUUCUAUCAAUCGCCACUUUGUCAUCUGUCUUCGCGUCCUUUCUUUCCCUCAGAGGCCUGUCAGGCCCUCCGUCGUGUGCCUCAGGCAGCACCAGCGGGGCCCCGCAGGCAUCGGGGGGGGGGGGGUGGUUGCUGACUCCCUUGGAGCGUGAAACGGAGGUAAGGGCUCAGGGAGGGUCCUGGGGGAGGCCCCCUCAGGUGGCACCUGCGUUUCACACUUGCUGGGCAUCUCCGGGUUGUGAGCUAAGUGGGUUGUGCUUGUGAGGAAGAGGCCCUGAAGGACACACGAGAGCAAGGAGACCUUUCCUGCCUCAAAGCGCGCCUCGGAAGCCUGGAGGUGCCCCUUCUGUCUCCAGUCUCCCUGGGGGUCCCCACCGUGACCUGGCCAGAGGGAAGCUAGCUGCUUCUGGGCGGCGGCUGUCCCCUCCCCCAGCAGGUCAAAAAGGACGCAGAGGAUGUCUUCAGUCUUUCCAUAGAGGUCACUGAUUGAGUGGGCUGUUUGAUGUUUGGUUAGUGCCGAGACACUUCCUCUUUCGUUUGUGUCUCGUUCGGGCUUCCUCCCACCCCCCCCGCCCCCCAACCCCCCUCCCUGCUUGGAGACUGAAAAAGGGGAACAAAGCGGAAGGGGAAAGAAAACUGAACAUUUCAGAUGUAGCUGCGAUGCUGGAGACUGCCGUGGGGGGUGGGGGGGUCUGUGGAAGUCGGGGGUGGGGUGGGGAGGGUGGCACCCUCCAGAGGUCACGAGGCCCCCUUGACCUAGCCUUUCUCCCUGCCCUCCCACUAACUUCCAUGGCUCCCGCCCAAGUACUCCUAAAUGCUACGGGAGAUCCUUGGAACCCUGAGUCCUAUUUUUCAGGGAGCAGCACCCUUAAAGGAAAACCUAGAUCUGUUUUCGUUCAUUUCAUUGGGUUGACUAUAUCCAUUUGCAAGGCAGAUAUAGCUAACACACGUGUGUGUGUGUGUACACACACACACACCCCAGAUUGUGGUAGCUUUUGGAAACUGUCUGAGGCACAGAAAAUAACUUGCCUGACAAGACAUCAAAGACUUGCAAAGAGACCACAGCAGCAAAGGCCUUCAGACUGCCUAGCAAUUUCUACGUGAUUGAUGAUAAGCAUCUAUUUGCUCCAGUAAGUCGAAGUAGAACUGUAACCUUUUAUUUGUUCCGGGAAACAGUAACCGAAGUCACAAAUCAUAAAUAAUAAAAGACAGAAAAGUCCUCUUUUAACCUAAUGGACUAACAGAUCUCUUGCUUUUCAUUUCUGCUAAUGGCCUCCCCAACUUGGCACUAUCCGAGCUGGCCAAGGUCAGGCGAAUCGAGCCUCAGUCAGCAAGCUGGACUUGGUCCAAAAGAUUGUUUAUAAGUUGCUUGUUUGGAACGCAGAAUGCAUUUUCCCUAAAAAUCUAUCUUUCCCAGGGUGACUGGGCACUCAAGUUCCCCUUGCACGGGACUCCCCAACCUGUAGAGUACCCGGGCGGGCGCUGGGUCUUUGAAGGCAAGCUGUCUGCAAUGCCAGAGGGAGGAAACAAGUCAACUCUCGCUCGUGUAGCCCCGGCCCGGCACAAUUUAAAUGCUGCUCGGCUGAGGGACUCCGUGACCCUGAAUUACCUACUUGUUUCCACUUCCUGAUCGGUCAGACUUCCAUUUCCUGAGAGCAGCUGAUAACGGCUAAGGGCUAGAGGAAAAGUAAACGGAGCAGACAGCCGAGGGUCGUCAAAUGUUUGUGGAAAGUUAUCACAUGAAAGAAAAAGACCCAAACAGAGGAAACAACGAACGAAACUUCAAAAAUAGCAUAGCUCAUACCCAUAGAGAAACAGGAGAAGACAUCUUAUCCAUUAAAUGAGAAAUGGUGUAAAAUAAACAAUCUGAACACGAAAGAACGUUUGGCUAUUAAAAAAAUAGAAUGUUUG
Lynx canadensis (Canada lynx) is the source of this 1967-nucleotide long non-coding RNA. RefSeq lists it as uncharacterized. The record is from RefSeq and is a predicted model, not a curated record. The transcript has 3 exons. Lineage: Eukaryota; Metazoa; Chordata; Mammalia; Carnivora; Felidae.